This 502-nucleotide ribosomal RNA is filed under the name uncultured bacterium. Its description in RNAcentral is "partial 16S ribosomal RNA". It matches the Rfam family "Bacterial small subunit ribosomal RNA", at positions 28 to 523 of the family's 1533-position model. The record is from RNAcentral.
GAUGAACGCUAGCGGGAGGCUUAACACAUGCAAGUCGAGGGGCAGCACGAGGUAGCAAUACUUUGGUGGCGACCGGCGCACGGGUGAGUAACGCGUAUGCAACCUACCCUGUACAGGGGGAUAGCCCGGAGAAAUUCGGAUUAAUACCCCAUAAUGAUAUUAAGAGGCAUCUCUAUAUAUUUAAAGUUUCGACGGUACGGGAUGGGCAUGCGUGACAUUAGCUAGUUGGUAGGGUAACGGCCUACCAAGGCUGCGAUGUCUAGGGGUCCUGAGCGGGUGAUCCCCCACACGAGUACGGGGACACGAACCAGACUCCUGCGGGAGGCAGCAGUGAGGAAUAUUGGUCAAUGGGCGUAAGCUUGAAACAGCCAUCCCGCGUGAAGGAAGACGGCGCUAUGCGUUGUAAACUUCUUUUCCGGAGGAAUAAAAUUUCGUACGAGUACGGGACUGAAGGUACUCCGGGAAUAAGCAUCGGCUAACUCCGUGCCAGCAGCCGCAGUAA